RNAcentral lists this long non-coding RNA (310 nucleotides) under Serinus canaria (Common canary). Its description in RNAcentral is "lncRNA (ENSSCAG00000012266.1)". Lineage: Eukaryota; Metazoa; Chordata; Aves; Passeriformes; Fringillidae. The record is from RNAcentral.
GGAGUAGGCAGUCAGCCUAAACACUUCUGCUAUGGGAUCAAUGAGGAUUCGGGGGCAAAAAACAAACUUCAGUACUUUAGCAAGUGCUGCACCAAGGACAGCCUCGUCAGAUGCAGCAAGAGAAGAUGCAUCCUCAGGAAAUCACAAACCUCUCAGGACGUGUUAUUUUCCAUCAGCAGUAAGCAGCACUGAUGUGUGCAGUUCUGGGAGGACAGAGCUGAAACAAGACAAGAAGAAAAGCUGCAGAAGUAAAAUUGCCUCUAAAGCUCCUUUAAAAUGCACAGGACAGGAGGGAACAAGUGGACAUUGA